CUCCCAACGACUAGGAAUCUGCCUGGUAGUGGGGGACAACGUCUCCCUUGGACGCUAAUACCGCAUACGUCCUACGGGAGAAAGCAGGGGACCUUCGGGCCUUGCGCUAUCAGAUGAGCCUAGGUCGGAUUAGCUAGUUGGUGAGGUAAUGGCUCACCAAGGCGACGAUCCGUAACUGGUCUGAGAGGAUGAUCAGUCACACUGGAACUGAGACACGGUCCAGACUCCUACGGGAGGCAGCAGUGGGGAAUAUUGGACAAUGGGCGAAAGCCUGAUCCAGCCAUGCCGCGUGUGUGAAGAAGGUCUUCGGAUUGUAAAGCACUUUAAGUUGGGAGGAAGGGCAGUAACUUAAUACGUUGCUGUUUUGACGUUACCGACAGAAUAAGCACCGGCUAACUCUGUGCCAGCAGCCGC
Molecule: ribosomal RNA, 414 nt
Filed under: uncultured Pseudomonas sp.
Lineage: Bacteria; Pseudomonadati; Pseudomonadota; Gammaproteobacteria; Pseudomonadales; Pseudomonadaceae
Description: bacterial SSU rRNA
Rfam family: Bacterial small subunit ribosomal RNA
Source: RNAcentral